Long non-coding RNA from Serinus canaria (Common canary), 328 nucleotides. RefSeq lists it as uncharacterized. The transcript is spliced from 3 exons. Lineage: Eukaryota; Metazoa; Chordata; Aves; Passeriformes; Fringillidae. The record is from RefSeq and is a predicted model, not a curated record.
GAGUUGCUUUUUCCUUGCUAGCCUUUGUCAGGCUGGGAAACAAAGGGAUGCAUCUGAGGCAAGACUGGAGAGGUAUAGAGCACUGGAAAAUGGCAUGAGCCUGGUGCUGCAGUUCAGGAGAGGCUGGGAUUGACAGGGUACAGAAAUCUGUUCCAUGGCAAGGAGGGAAGAAUUUGGAGGGAUACAGUUGUCAGGAUGUUUUUAUAGGAUGUUUUACUUUGGCAAAAGUACUUGCGUUAUGAAAAUAACACAGAGACCAAGCGGAGCUGAAGUCAGCUGCCACCUGUGUCUUGUUCCCCUCAAAAUCUCACCACAUGCAUCUACAGCA